This 497-nucleotide ribosomal RNA is filed under the name uncultured bacterium. RNAcentral describes it as "partial 16S ribosomal RNA". It matches the Rfam family "Bacterial small subunit ribosomal RNA", at positions 28 to 507 of the family's 1533-position model. The record is from RNAcentral.
GAUGAACGCUGGCGGCGUGCCUAAUACAUGCAAGUCGAGCGAACGGACGAGAAGCUUGCUUCUCUGAUGUUAGCGGCGGACGGGUGAGUAACACGUGGAUAACCUACCUAUAAGACUGGGAUAACUUCGGGAAACCGGAGCUAAUACCGGAUAAUAUUUUGAACCGCAUGGUUCAAAAGUGAAAGACGGUCUUGCUGUCACUUAUAGAUGGAUCCGCGCUGCAUUAGCUAGUUGGUAAGGUAACGGCUUACCAAGGCAACGAUGCAUAGCCGACCUGAGAGGGUGAUCGGCCACACUGGAACUGAGACACGGUCCAGACUCCUACGGGAGGCAGCAGUAGGGAAUCUUCCGCAAUGGGCGAAAGCCUGACGGAGCAACGCCGCGUGAGUGAUGAAGGCCUUCGGAUCGUAAAACUCUGUUAUUAGGGAAGGACAUAUGUGUAAGUAACUGUGCACAUCUUGACGGUACCUAAUCAGAAAGCCACGGCUAACUACGUG